UACGAAGGGGGCUAGCGUUGCUCGGAAUCACUGGGCGUAAAGCGCACGUAGGCGGCUUGUUAAGUCAGGGGUGAAAUCCUGGAGCUCAACUCCAGAACUGCCUUUGAUACUGGCGAGCUUGAGUUCGGGAGAGGUGAGUGGAACUGCGAGUGUAGAGGUGAAAUUCGUAGAUAUCAGGAGGAACACCUGUGGUGUAGACAGCUUACUGGACCACUUCUGACGCUGAGACACGAAAGCGUGGGUAGCAAACAGG
RNAcentral lists this ribosomal RNA (253 nucleotides) under uncultured bacterium. RNAcentral describes it as "partial 16S ribosomal RNA". It matches the Rfam family "Bacterial small subunit ribosomal RNA", at positions 524 to 776 of the family's 1533-position model. The record is from RNAcentral.